ACACGUAAGUUGCGAGCGUUGUUCGGAAUUAUUGGGCGUAAAGGGCAUGUAGGCGGAACCGCAAGUCUGGUGUGAAAGGCAGGGGCUCAACCCCUGGACUGCGUUGGAAACUGCGGUACUAGAGUCGCUGAGGGGCAGGCAGAAUUCCAGGUGUAGGGGUGAAAUCUGUAGAUAUCUGGAAGAAUACCGAUGGCGAAGGCAGCCUGCCAGCAGAUGACUGACGCUGAGGUGCGAAGGUGCGGGGAGCAAACAGGAUUAGAUACCCUGGUAGUCCGCACAGUCAACUAUGUACACUGGGUGUCUGGGCAGAAGUCUGGGUGCCGAAGCAAACGCGAUAAGUGUACCGCCUGGGGAGUAUGCCCGCAAGGGUGAAACUCAAAGGAAUUGACGGGG
Molecule: ribosomal RNA, 393 nt
Filed under: uncultured bacterium
Lineage: Bacteria
Description: partial 16S ribosomal RNA
Rfam family: Bacterial small subunit ribosomal RNA
Source: RNAcentral